AGGCCAUUGGAGGCUGCGGGAGCCAGGGGGCGGGGCGGGUCCCCCCGGAGUCCUGACAGAGCGCGCUGGGCGGCGGAGCCGGGCGCCGGGCGCCGGACCGGAGCUGGGCGGGCGGCCGGGCGGCCGGGCGGCCGCGGUGGUGAGGGCGGGAGGGUCCCGGCGCGGACAGGGGCUCGCAGGGGGAGUUACGGUGCCGAGAUGGGUGCCUGGCCGCGUCUCCCGACAGCAGUCCCGUCUUUGUCCCGGCGGGGACCGCUCGGAGACGGCAUCUGUCAGCGCUCGCCCCUCCUCUCGCCUCCUCCUCCGGCCGGGCCGGACUCGGCCGGCGGGGGACGCGGAGCCGGCGCGGCGCGCCCAUCAGCUGUCAGGCGAGUGUGGCGGGGCGGCCGCGGGCGGCGGCGAGAGAGACACACAAAGAAGGCGGCGGCGAGCGGCGCUGCGGGAAAGGGGCGUCAGUUUCGGGACGGCUACUCCCGGCCGCGCCCGCUCGUGCCGCCGCCGCCGCCACCGCCGCCGGUCCGAGGCCGCGGAGACAAUACGGCCGCGCUCCAUCCCCGCGCCCGCGCCCCCCCUUCCCGGCGCCUCCCGGACGGGGCCGGGCUCGCCCAACCUCCCCUCCACCCCCUCCCGGCCCGCCGGCUCCCCGCCCGGGGCAGCGGCGCCCCCUCGCUCGCUCUCGCGGCCGGGGAAGGAAGUCGCGGUCCGCGGCCGCCCAGCCCGGCAACUUGCGAGCCGGGAAAAGUUUGUGGCGGCGUCUUCGCGGGGCGGCCCCGGCCCCCGGCGCACGCGGUGCCGGCCGGGGACUCCGUGGGCUCGGCGUCCGGCUGCGCGGACCGCGGGGACUGCGGCGGGGAGGCCGGAGCCCGUGCGGCCGGAGCCGGUGCGCGGGCUCUGCGCCCGGGCCUGCGGCUCUGGAGAGUUGCUAUCGAAGAAGGACAAAAGAGGAAGACAAUGCCGGAGGAGGUGUGCACAAUCCAUGGGAAAACUUUUCCAGUAAAUUUCUACAGCCCAUGGCCAGUUUCAUGAUACAAAGACCAGACCAGUUCUAGGUAUGCUUUCUACAGAAGGAAGCAGAGACUACUUGUGUUUCUUGCCUUAAGGAUGUCAGUGCAGCAUUCAGAGACCAGAGGGGCUGGAAGUUAGAUGAACAUGCAGGAAAAGAAAGGUGGAACCAUAGGACGAAGCAUCAUUCUCUAAUAGACCUUGUUAUUCCAUUCUACUUUUCUCCUGAUUGUUGCUUACUCUUUCAAAAACCAGCUGACUAUACAAAUUGUUUCUGGGAGCAUAUUUCAGAGCAAAAGUGAUACAUAAAAGCAGCACGUAAGUCUUGUUCUUGUCAGAAUUUACAGUAUUUGAAAUAAGUCUUAUUUUCAUUGAGAGUCUAACUUCACUUAAAUGUAGUAUUUAAUGUUAAAUGUGCACUUUAUGUUGUUAACAUGAUUUAAUUUCCAUGUUUGGUCACUUUCACUCGAAGGAUUUUAAUUACAUAAUACAUGCUGGAGUCAUUUUAAGUAACUCUGCCUUUGCCUGUUUGUUCCUUGUAGCUACCAGUAAUGGAUAAAAUCUGUUUGCAUAUAUCAUCUUAGUACAUCAUAGACUUUUAUAGGAACUUGGCAAUUGAAUAAUAGACAUUCACGAAGCUUUUUGUUUUGAAUGUGAGAUAUCUUUUAAGAAUAUUUUUAUUUGAAUGAGACUUCAGUGAUGUACAGACUUGCUGCCAAUACAUCUUAGAAACACCUGCUGGGGAACCUUCUUCAGGUUAACAGUUUCGGAAAGCAGAUCCCUGUUGACAGUGAGCAACUGUAAACAUCCUCGACUGGAAGCUGUGAGGCCACAGAUGGGCUUUCAGUCGGAUGUUUGCAGCUGCCUACUGCCCCAGACUUCAAGGAGCUGCUUUAGGGGCUAUUAUCUUGUUAACUAGAACUGAAUACCUUGCUUUCUCUUUGAUAUGUUUUUACAAAGCUUGGAUGAAAGUGGUCUAAAUUAAAUAACUUUGAACCAUUUCUGUACAUUUUUAGAGGACUUUAGCAGGGCAGGAGAAGUGCUCUGUGUCUGCAUAGAAUUUGCAAAUGGGAGGCAUCUGUAAUACUCUCAAUAAUAGAAACUAAUUGUUAAAAACAGCAAAGUAUUCCUGAAGGAGGAAGGAAAUGUAUUAUAGUAUUUUUGUUCUUAUAAAAAGUGUACUAAGACAAUAUUUUACAAAUCACUCUAAAAAAUGAUUUGUGUUCUCCUACUGUUUAUCUGUAAUUUCAAAAUAAGUAUUUUUAAAGAGUCAUUCACUAACAUUUCUAUUAAUGAAAUUAAAUUAUUUGGAAAGAAAAAAAAGUAAAGGCUAGAGUGAAGAGUUAAUUUAGUUUGUUUGGAUUAAAUCUCUUAUUUUUUCAUAGGUUCGGUUUUUAAGUAAUAAAGUAGUUUUCAGUUUAAUAAGAUACUUAAACUAAUAUUGACUCAACUAACUCUUAUUUGAAAAAUCUAUUUGUCCUGGUUUUAGCUGAUGAGAUAGUAUUUUAGGCAUUUGUUGAUACUGCCCCUAUUCAAUCGAACUCUUAACUUUGCUUUAUAUAAUAGGAUAUAUCUCUUUAAAAUAUAUGAAAACAAGCUAAGUUUUUUAAAAGAACCUGGUUUGGGAUCUCUGUGAAAGAAAUCUAAUUUCUAACUUGUUUUUUGUUGUUGUUUUUUUUUUUUGUGUGUGUGUGUGUGUGUUUUUGUAAAUCUAUAUUUGUCUUAUGGAACAUUUGUUUAAUAUGAAACACUUAAAUAGUAGAAGUGAGACACUUUAAAAGGAGAUGAGGGCAGCAUCCUUUAUCCU
Molecule: RNA transcript, 2809 nt
Organism: Pipistrellus kuhlii (Kuhl's pipistrelle)
Lineage: Eukaryota; Metazoa; Chordata; Mammalia; Chiroptera; Vespertilionidae
Gene name: WAS/WASL-interacting protein family member 1-like
Exons: 6
Source: RefSeq, a predicted model, not a curated record